This 686-nucleotide ribosomal RNA is filed under the name Serratia fonticola. Its description in RNAcentral is "bacterial SSU rRNA". It matches the Rfam family "Bacterial small subunit ribosomal RNA", at positions 25 to 702 of the family's 1533-position model. Lineage: Bacteria; Pseudomonadati; Pseudomonadota; Gammaproteobacteria; Enterobacterales; Yersiniaceae. The record is from RNAcentral.
CAGAUUGAACGCUGGCGGCAGGCCUAACACAUGCAAGUCGAGCGGUAGCACAAGGAGCUUGCUCCUGGGUGACGAGCGGCGGACGGGUGAGUAAUGUCUGGGAAACUGCCCGAUGGAGGGGGAUAACUACUGGAAACGGUAGCUAAUACCGCAUAACGUCUUCGGACCAAAGUGGGGGACCUUCGGGCCUCACACCAUCGGAUGUGCCCAGAUGGGAUUAGCUAGUAGGUGAGGUAAUGGCUCACCUAGGCGACGAUCCCUAGCUGGUCUGAGAGGAUGACCAGCCACACUGGAACUGAGACACGGUCCAGACUCCUACGGGAGGCAGCAGUGGGGAAUAUUGCACAAUGGGCGCAAGCCUGAUGCAGCCAUGCCGCGUGUGUGAAGAAGGCCUUCGGGUUGUAAAGCACUUUCAGCGAGGAGGAAGGGUUCGGUGUUAAUAGCACUGUUCAUUGACGUUACUCGCAGAAGAAGCACCGGCUAACUCCGUGCCAGCAGCCGCGGUAAUACGGAGGGUGCAAGCGUUAAUCGGAAUUACUGGGCGUAAAGCGCACGCAGGCGGUUUGUUAAGUCAGAUGUGAAAUCCCCGAGCUUAACUUGGGAACUGCAUUUGAAACUGGCAAGCUAGAGUCUUGUAGAGGGGGGUAGAAUUCCAGGUGUAGCGGUGAAAUGCGUAGAGAUCUGGA